This 2427-nucleotide long non-coding RNA is filed under the name Callithrix jacchus (white-tufted-ear marmoset). RNAcentral describes it as "lncRNA (ENSCJAG00000073212.1)". The record is from RNAcentral. Lineage: Eukaryota; Metazoa; Chordata; Mammalia; Primates; Cebidae.
AUGCCCCCCGCUGUGUUCUUUUUGCUUAGAAUUGAUUUGGCUAUGCGGGCUCUCUUUUGGUUCCAUAUGAAGUUCAUGAUGGUUUUUUCCAGUUCUGUGAAGAAAGUCAAUGAUGCAGGGCUUCGGAUUGCCCUCCCAUGUACCAUUCCUUCCAGCCCUUCAGGAAAUGAGCUUCUCCAAAUCAAGGGCAUGACAUCAUCAAGGUUGGCAUCAUCUUGCCAGGGCUGCAAGAAACAGUGGAGAACUGAGGACAGUCUCCAGGCCAGCAAUGAAAGGAGACUCCACGAUGGUCGAGCAGCAGGGCCAGAAUGGCCAGGGCAGCCGGGAGGUCAGGGGCUCCCAGGGAGACUUGGCAGGAAAAUGAAAUUAAUGGAACAGCUAAAGUACUGGAACACCAGGAGAGGAAAUUUACAUCAACAGGAAGGGGCACUGGCAAUAGGAGAGGAGUUUGGGGAUCAAUUAAGGACAAGGACAAAAAAGAUAAUUGUAAAAUACAGAUGAUUAUUCACUCCGGAUAAAACAAAAACGUUAUGCAAGAAAGAAAAUGAAGUAAAUGAAAAAUAUAAAGCAAUCAUCAACUUCAGGUAAAACAAAAAAAGUUAUGCAGGAAUGGGCUUGGCUGUGAAAGGCCCUAACAUAGUCACAAUAUAAACACUGAGUGUUAAUCUUGUCAAGGAUGAUGGGACCACCCUCAACUCCAAAAUAAAAAGCAGAGCUCAAGUUACUGCCCACUCAAGUAAGGGAAAGGGCUGCUGCUCGGGCAGCUUCCCAGAGGUGGCAGAGCUGGGAGUACAGGAAUUAGAGGACCACCCAGUCGGGGAUGAUGCCGUCAGCCAUCCCUUGAAGGUUAUUGGGUGAAAGAGACUGUGGUUAAUUGGCUGACACUCCUGGGUUUAGUUGAGUAGUUCAUUCCCUGAUUGGCUGAGUUUCAGUGAGGGGCUGACACUGAUUGGUUGGCUCAAAACAGGUUUCCUACAGCUAAUGAAAGAGUUUUAAACCGGUUCUGCCGCUGCUUGUUGCCAUGGCUAUGGAACAAUGGAUCUUUUCCUGGGAGUGUGGGAACGUUAGUAUUCUCAAGCCACCCAGAAUUAGGAUGUAACUGUGUUGCUGAUAAAGGGGGAUUGGAAGUGUGGGGAAUCUGUGUGGCACUGCCUACUUCCCCACCUUCCAAGGAGGGGAGUAAAGGGGUAACACCAGAAACCGGAAAGUCAAAAUUAGCCAUGGGAGCAUUUUACUUAGAGCUACGAACACACCAUCCGAAGAACGGCUGGGGCUGGAGUCCUACAGGGAGACAGAGACUGUGAAGUGAGACAGGGGACUGUGGCCUUGCCCAACAAACCUUGUGGGGAUUUUCCACACCUUCAACCUCAUAGAUGCGUAAUCUUGGUAAUUAAAAAAACUUCUGUGUAUAUAUAUAGCAAUACCUUAACAAUCAUACUCAGUUAAAAAUCUGUUUAACUGAGUAUGAUUGUUUUGGAAGUUUUCACCUGGAAGGUAUUACAAUAUUUUUGUAAAAAAAAAAUAAUUAUAAGAGUCCCACCCCUAGCACACUGCAGCAGAAAGUUAGAUGUCCACACUGGUGCUCAGUCUCUGCUUUAGUGAACUCACGAAGGGCACUCCGUCACUGACCUCCCUCACUCACGGUGGCAUCUGAGGAGGUAGAGAUGUUUUGGGUGCCUGCCCAAACAAACCUCCCUGGGCCCACACCACAUAAACCCUGUGUGGCUCCUUCAGCCAGAAGCUGGAGGGUGAAUUUCUCCCCCAGACCAACAGGGAGUCCCUAAAUCAAGUUGAACAAAAACCAUGCACAAAACUACACAGGGGAAAAGGUGAUUGGAGAGGGCAUCAAUAAAGAACGCUUACAAAUCCAUAUUUUUUAAAAACUCAAAACACACAAACAUGCAUUUCACAGAAGAAAUACACAUAAGAAAAGAUGUUGUUCCUCAUUAGUGAUCAGAGAAAUGCAAAGUAAGGCCCCAGUGAAAUUCCAUUUUACACUCAUUUGGCUGAAACUGAAGAGUCUAAACAGAAGUGGUGCUAGAGAGAGAGGAUGCAGGUGCAGACCACGACCGCGUUGCUGGUGGGAGUGUACACAGGUAUGGCCACACUGGAAAAUAAUUGGCGUUUCGAUGUGGACCAGUCACAUACCCUAAGGCCCAACAGCGCCACUCCUAGGUGCAUAUCCAACAGAAACUCUGGCGCAUGUGUACCAGUGCGGGUGACAACAAUGUUCAUGUCAGCAUUCACAGAACAAAACUGUUGAAACAUCCCAGGCGCCACACAGAAGAGAAUGUAGCUCAUUCACAGGGCAGAAUUCCGCACAUCCGUCAGCACAGCUGAUGGCACCAAAGGGACAGACGAUGGUGUGAGUGAUCUGGGAAGCAUCUUAUUAGGGAAAAAGCUGCAUUCCAUGAAGGCACACAUUGC